Molecule: long non-coding RNA, 602 nt
Filed under: Coffea arabica (coffee)
Lineage: Eukaryota; Viridiplantae; Streptophyta; Magnoliopsida; Gentianales; Rubiaceae
Description: long non-coding RNA (CARA_LNC007431)
Source: RNAcentral
CUAAGGGAAAAACAGGGAAACAGGGGAGCUAUGGCGGCUAGAUUUCUAACAGGGAAAAAGGAAAAACGAAAAGAAAGGGGAAGGAUUCGGCUGAUGAAAUGGGAAAAAAAAAGGGGCAAGCUGGGAAGAAGCGGAAGAAGAACAGAAAGAAAAACAGGGGCGGUGGAUGGAGGUUUGAAAGAGCAGAGGAAAGGGAAAAAUCUGGAAUUUAGAGGAGGAAGGUGACGGGCAAGGAGGCGAAAGGAAAACAGGGGACGGCUGAUAAAAAAAGAGGGGCUGGGAAUUUGGAUUGAAGCCAGAAGCCUUCGGCUGUGGAGUGGAAAAAACAGAGCAAAUGGAAAAGAACUAAGGAGCUACGGCAAAACAGAAAAACAGAACAAGAAAAGGGAGUUGCAAAAACCGAACAAGAAGAAAAGGAAUUUCGGGCAAGCAGGAAAACUGAGUGGAGGAGUUGCAAUUUGCUGUUGGCUCCGGAAAUUCCCGCCAUUACCGAUGAACAUUCACCGAGAAGGAGUACGGUAAGCAACCAUUUUACUUUAAAUUUCAGCUUCCAUUCAAGAAUAAAUGCUGGAAAUCCCAACCCCAAAAUCCGUCUCUGGUGA